ACCUACGGGAGGCAGCAGUGAGGAAUCUUUGUCCCUUGUCUUGAGACUGACCCAGCCAAGCCGCGUGAGGGAUGAAGGUACAGAGUAUCGUAAACCUCUUUUGUCAGGGAACAAAGGCGGGGACGUGUCCCCGGAUGAGUGUACCUGAAGAAAAAGCAUCGGCUAACUCCGUGCCAGCAGCCGCGGUAAUACGGAGGAUGCGAGCGUUAUCCGGAUUUAUUGGGUUUAAAGGGUGCGCAGGCGGUCUGUUAAGUCAGCGGUCAAAGCCCGGGGCUCAACCCCGGCCCGCCGUUGAAACUGGCAGG
This 305-nucleotide ribosomal RNA is filed under the name uncultured bacterium. RNAcentral describes it as "bacterial SSU rRNA". It matches the Rfam family "Bacterial small subunit ribosomal RNA", at positions 337 to 640 of the family's 1533-position model. The record is from RNAcentral.